CACCACGUUGAAUACGUUCCCGGGUCUUGUACACACCGCCCGUCACACCACGAAAGUUGGGGGGCGCCCGAAGUGCCUAUUUACUAGGCCCUAAGGCGAAUCCAGUAAUUGGGGUG
This 116-nucleotide ribosomal RNA is filed under the name uncultured bacterium. Its description in RNAcentral is "partial 16S ribosomal RNA". It matches the Rfam family "Bacterial small subunit ribosomal RNA", at positions 1355 to 1482 of the family's 1533-position model. The record is from RNAcentral.